CCCCUAGUAACUGCGAGUGAAGCGGGAAAAGCUCAAAUUUAAAAUCUGGCAGUCUUUGGCUGUCCGAGUUGUAAUCUAGAGAAGUGUUAUCCGCGCUGGACCGUGUACAAGUCUCCUGGAAUGGAGCGUCAUAGAGGGUGAGAAUCCCGUCUUUGACACGGACUACCAGGGCUUUGUGAUACGCUCUCGAAGAGUCGAGUUGUUUGGGAAUGCAGCUCAAAAUGGGUGGUAAAUUCCAUCUAAAGCUAAAUAUUGGCGAGAGACCGAUAGCGAACAAGUACCGUGAGGGAAAGAUGAAAAGAACUUUGGAAAGAGAGUUAAACAGUACGUGAAAUUGCUGAAAGGGAAACGCUUGAAGUCAGUCGCGUUGUCCAGGGAUCAACCUUGCUUUUGCUUGGUGCAUUUCCUGGUUGACGGGUCAGCAUCAGUUUUGACUAUUGGAAAAAGGUUAAGGGAAUGUGGCAUCUUUGGAUGUGUUAUAGCCCUUGGUUGCAUACAAUAGUUGGGAUUGAGGAACUCAGCACGCCGAAAGGCCGGGUUUUUAACCACGUACGUGCUUAGGAUGCUGGCAUAAUGGCUUUAAUCGACCCGUCUUGAAACACGGACCAAGGAGUCUAACAUGCCUGCGAGUGUUUGGGUGGAAAACCCGAGCGCGCAAUGAAAGUGAAAGUUGAGAUCCCUGUCGUGGGGAGCAUUGACGCCCGGACCAGACCUUUUGUGACGGUUCCGCGGUAGAGCAUGUAUGUUGGGACCCGAAAGAUGGUGAACUAUGCCUGAAUAGGGUGAAGCCAGAGGAAACUCUGGUGGAGGCUCGUAGCGAUUCUGACGUGCA
Molecule: ribosomal RNA, 832 nt
Filed under: Cortinarius aff. persplendidus 1 FS-2012
Lineage: Eukaryota; Fungi; Basidiomycota; Agaricomycetes; Agaricales; Cortinariaceae
Description: eukaryotic LSU rRNA
Rfam family: Eukaryotic large subunit ribosomal RNA
Source: RNAcentral